RNAcentral lists this small RNA (359 nucleotides) under uncultured Rhizophagus. RNAcentral's name for it is "bacterial SSU rRNA". It matches the Rfam family "Eukaryotic small subunit ribosomal RNA", at positions 569 to 935 of the family's 1831-position model. The record is from RNAcentral. Lineage: Eukaryota; Fungi; Glomeromycota; Glomeromycetes; Glomerales; Glomeraceae.
AGCAGCCGUAGUAAUUCCAGCUCCAAUAGCGUAUAUUAAAGUUGUUGCAGUUAAAAAGUUCGUAGUUGAAUUUCGGUUAGUAGGCUGGUUAUGGAACUCGCGUCUGCAGGUUUAUGUAACUGGUCUUACUAAUUCCUCCUUCCUGAUGAACUGUAGUGCCAUUAAUUUGGUGUUGCAGGGAAUCUGGACUGUUACUUUGAAAAAAUUAGUGUGUUUAAAGCAGGCUAACGCUUGAAUACAUUAUGAAAUAGGACGUUCGAUCCUAUUGUUGGUUUCUAGGAUUGACGUAAUGAUUAAUAGGGAUAGUUGGGGCAUUAGUAUUCAAUUGUCAGAGGUGAAAUUCUUGGAUUUAUUGAAGA